Molecule: long non-coding RNA, 1305 nt
Filed under: Salmo salar (Atlantic salmon)
Lineage: Eukaryota; Metazoa; Chordata; Actinopteri; Salmoniformes; Salmonidae
Description: lncRNA (ENSSSAG00000098588.1, ENSSSAG00075036029.1)
Source: RNAcentral
UGACUUCUAACAUAUGGUUACAUUUAAUUUGUUUUGUUAAACCCUAUCCUUUGGAAUGACUUUGCUAGCAACAGUGAAUCUAGAGAUCUCUCAAUAAUCCUUCUCACGAUAGCACAAUGGUAGUAGUCAGGGAUAAAUAUCAAGGCUAAGCUGGGCUUGGUUAAAACCCUGGAUGGGAGCCCAAUGGAUAGCUGUAAAUAAAUCCAUUUUCCAGUAGGAGAUGCAGCCCAACCUAUUGUGUUUUUUUUUCUGAUAGUGGAUGUAACGUUGAAGAUCUGACGUUGUUUCAAAGGUACAAAUUCAACAUAUUUUAUACAAGGUUUGUCUAUGUUUAAAAUGGGUUACCAUGAUGACAUUAUACUGUGGUUGAAAUUUCACCCUCAAAACAACAGUUGUAGACAGUUGAUGACUUUCUGCAAAUUCAGUUUAUUUUCCACGUAGAUUCCGUGUCACAAUACGUUGACAAAUUACAUUGAAAUAACGUCGAUUCAACAGGCUUGUGCCCAGUGUUUUUUUUCUUCUGUUGCUAUGGCAACUCAUUACCCCUACUGACCUUGGCGUGUACACACACAAACACUCUACACAGAGACAGAAUGCACGGCUAACGAUGGUCCUUCAUCACAACGCAACAGACAUUACAUAAUCCCUGCAGUCAACAGUCAACACUUUACAUUGGUAAUGGUAACUCUCUCCUCCUCUCUCUCGCCAUCUCUCUGUCUCUCUUUCUCUCUCUCUGUCUCUUGUCUCUCUGUCUGUCUCUCACUCCCUCUCUCUCUCUCUGUCUCUCACUCCCUCUCUCUCUCUGUCUCUCACUCCCUCUCUCUCUGUCUCUCGUCUUUUCUGCCUCUCUCUCUGUUUCUCUGUCUCUCUGUCUCUCUGUCCCAAUCUCUCUGUCCCUCUGUCCCUCUGUCUCUCUGUCCGUCCGUCCCUCAGUCCGUCCGUCUCUCUCUGUCUCUCUCUCUCGGUCUCUCUGUUUGUCUCUCUCUCUCUCAUAUACAGUGGCAAGAAAAAGUAAGCGAACCCUUUGGAAUUACCCUGAUUUCUGCAUAAAUUGGUCAUCAAAUUUGAUCUGAUCUUUAUCUAACUUACAACAAUAGACAAACAUAGUCUGCUUAAACUAAUAGCACACAAAUUGUAUUUUUCUUGUCUAUAUUGUCACAGUGUUCAUUGAUUCUCCAGUCCCCCUGCCCUUUUUAAUACCCUCCACUUUACCAUCAGGCAGCUGGGAGAAAAUACCUUUUUUCCCAUUGAACCAAGGUAAGGGGAUCGGUAGAGAACCAAGGUAAGGGGAUCGGUAGAGAACCA